RNAcentral lists this ribosomal RNA (252 nucleotides) under uncultured bacterium. Its description in RNAcentral is "partial 16S ribosomal RNA". It matches the Rfam family "Bacterial small subunit ribosomal RNA", at positions 524 to 776 of the family's 1533-position model. The record is from RNAcentral.
UACGUAGGUGGCAAGCGUUGUCCGGAUUUAUUGGGUUAAAGGGUGCGUAGGCGGUUCAAUAAGUCAGUGGUGAAAUACGGCAGCUCAACUGUCGAGGUGCCAUUGAUACUGUUGGACUUGAGUACAGACGAGGUAGGCGGAAUUGACGGUGUAGCGGUGAAAUGCUUAGAUAUCGUCAAGAACACCGAUAGCGAAGGCAGCUUACUAGGCUGUAACUGACGCUGAGGCACGAAAGUGUGGGGAUCAAACAGG